RNAcentral lists this ribosomal RNA (715 nucleotides) under Bacillus sp. T23(2010). Its description in RNAcentral is "bacterial SSU rRNA". It matches the Rfam family "Bacterial small subunit ribosomal RNA", at positions 66 to 761 of the family's 1533-position model. The record is from RNAcentral. Lineage: Bacteria; Bacillati; Bacillota; Bacilli; Caryophanales; Bacillaceae.
GCGAAUGGAUUGAGAGCUUGCUCUCAAGAAGUUAGCGGCGGACGGGUGAGUAACACGUGGGUAACCUGCCCAUAAGACUGGGAUAACUCCGGGAAACCGGGGCUAAUACCGGAUAACAUUUUGAACUGCAUGGUUCGAAAUUGAAAGGCGGCUUCGGCUGUCACUUAUGGAUGGACCCGCGUCGCAUUAGCUAGUUGGUGAGGUAACGGCUCACCAAGGCAACGAUGCGUAGCCGACCUGAGAGGGUGAUCGGCCACACUGGGACUGAGACACGGCCCAGACUCCUACGGGAGGCAGCAGUAGGGAAUCUUCCGCAAUGGACGAAAGUCUGACGGAGCAACGCCGCGUGAGUGAUGAAGGCUUUCGGGUCGUAAAACUCUGUUGUUAGGGAAGAACAAGUGCUAGUUGAAUAAGCUGGCACCUUGACGGUACCUAACCAGAAAGCCACGGCUAACUACGUGCCAGCAGCCGCGGUAAUACGUAGGUGGCAAGCGUUAUCCGGAAUUAUUGGGCGUAAAGCGCGCGCAGGUGGUUUCUUAAGUCUGAUGUGAAAGCCCACGGCUCAACCGUGGAGGGUCAUUGGAAACUGGGAGACUUGAGUGCAGAAGAGGAAAGUGGAAUUCCAUGUGUAGCGGUGAAAUGCGUAGAGAUAUGGAGGAACACCAGUGGCGAAGGCGACUUUCUGGUCUGUAACUGACACUGAGGCGCGAAAGCG